RNAcentral lists this long non-coding RNA (1535 nucleotides) under Calidris pygmaea (Spoon-billed sandpiper). RNAcentral describes it as "lncRNA (ENSCPGG00000007165.1)". The record is from RNAcentral. Lineage: Eukaryota; Metazoa; Chordata; Aves; Charadriiformes; Scolopacidae.
AGAGCGUAAUAGAUCAUGUUUGUCACUGAUGAAAGCAUACCUGUGCCAUCCAUAAAUAUUGUAUAUAAAGAGCCUAUAACCUCUCUAACCCGCCUUUUAGUAGUCCAUGGCAUUGUAAGGUCUUGGGAUCUAAUUAAAACCUUAGUCCACUUCUGGUUUCAGUGAAUGAUCUUUGUACUGGGCCAUUAAUAAAACAAGGUAUGCUUAAAAGUUCUGAAAUGUAUGUAACUAAGUAUGUAAGGGUUCUUUCUUCACUGAGAACUGUUUAUGUCAUGUCUGUUGAAAGUAGCAUCAGCAGUGAAAGAAAACCAGCCCUGAGAGAACAGUAGAUGUGUCAUUUAAGUUAUUCCACAAAAACAAUGUAAGUUGGUUCCUGUGGUACAGCCAAGUUGGCUUAGUGUUCUGAAAUCUUCAAAUUCCUGCUUUAACAUGCCAUGGAAGACUCCUUUAUCCGUGGGCUCCAUACCACCGAUAGUGAGAGUUGAAAGUAAGAACUUCUUUGUUAAACAUUGGCUCACAGUCAUUCAGAUGUUUAAAAACAUUUAUUUGAAUUUUUCAUAAUCUAGCAAUUUUUCAUUUAGGCCUGUCUUGAUAGAAACCCUGAAGCUUUCUUACCAAAGAUUGGGAAAGGGAAACCAGGAGAAAUUAAACCUCACCAUAACAAAGGAUGUAAUUGCAAGCGUUCAGGAUGCCUCAAGAAUUAUUGUCAGUGCUUUGAGGCAACCAGCUGUACGGAUAUCUUUGGAAGAAGUGAAAGCGACGUGUGCUUGUCUCCUGGUGCAAGCUGAAGAGGCAGAAAAAAGAGGUUACUCUCUCCGUCUAGCUGAGCAGAUGAUCAUGGAGGAAUUUGGGAGAUGUUUAUCCCAGAUCCUACAUGCAUAGUUAAAAUUUAAAGAACUGAAAGUUGAAUAAUGUUCAAUGUAUUAUAAAGCAAAUAAGUAUUAAUAUUGAUAUAUGUUGCCAUAAUCUCCACAAUUUUGCUACUUUAUGAUCUUACUUUGAUUUUUCAUAGGAAUAGUUUCAUUAACUUCAGCUGAAUUAUUUCUGAGUUAUACUGGUGUAAGUGAAACCAGCGCCACAUCUGGCAUUUUUCCAAGUAACUUAGUACUGUAGAAAGCUUAUUAUAUUUUUUUCUAAAACAGAUUUUUCUCUGUAGUCAGUGCUUUCUGAGCUAAUUCUUCAGUAUUUACUUAGACUCUUAUUAAAAGUAAGUUUAACUUAAAAUGACUUUAUUGGAUGCUUAUGUAAGAAGAGAUGCAGUAAAAAUUGAGUAAGAAUUUCCUAUCUUAGUUUGGUUAUGUUAUGAAUUGUGAAACAAUUUCAUUUCCAGUGGUAGUAGACAUAUAUACCUAGGCAAAGUUUAGCUUUGGGUCAUCUCUGUUUUGAAAUCCAGUUUCUCUUAAAGCUUGGAUUAUCUUUUGUUUAAUUAUUCUUUUUUCUUAUGUGGAAGUUUUCUCUGUGACAUUUCUUCCUCUUCUCAUUCUCACCGUUGGGGUGAUAAUAAAUUUUCUCUAAUAGAAGUAAGCUAUUUGCUG